GUACACUCCUACGGGAGGCAGCAGUGGGGAAUUUUGGACAAUGGGCGAAAGCCUGAUCCAGCAAUGCCGCGUGCAGGAUGAAGGCCUUCGGGUUGUAAACUGCUUUUGUACGGAACGAAAAAGCUCCUUCUAAUACAGGGGGCCCAUGACGGUACCGUAAGAAUAAGCACCGGCUAACUACGUGCCAGCAGCCGCGGUAAUACGUAGGGUGCGAGCGUUAAUCGGAAUUACUGGGCGUAAAGCGUGCGCAGGCGGUUAUGUAAGACAGAUGUGAAAUCCCCGGGCUCAACCUGGGAACUGCAUUUGUGACUGCAUGGCUAGAGUACGGUAGAGGGGGAUGGAAUUCCGCGUGUAGCAGUGAAAUGCGUAGAUAUGCGGAGGAACACCGAUGGCGAAGGCAAUCCCCUGGACCUGUACUGACGCUCAUGCACGAAAGCGUGGGGAGCAAACAGGAUUAGAAACCCUUGUAGUCCC
This 474-nucleotide ribosomal RNA is filed under the name uncultured organism. Its description in RNAcentral is "partial 16S ribosomal RNA". It matches the Rfam family "Bacterial small subunit ribosomal RNA", at positions 331 to 797 of the family's 1533-position model. The record is from RNAcentral.